AGAGGUGGUUGGCAGACUUGAUCGUCUGGAUCUGAAACUUCUAGCUGGAAUGCCGGAGGAAUUUGGUACUGUUCAUGAAGCACUAUAUCCCUCUCAGACAGCUCAUAUCAGAAUCCUAGUGGCACAAAGUCGGAAUCUCUAGAGGCUAUUUCUCUCAUCCAAAAAGAAAAAUACAAAGGAUGGUGGAAGGAAAAAGAAGCGCCUAUGCCAAAAGAGAAGGAGAAAAAU
This 228-nucleotide long non-coding RNA is filed under the name Elaeis guineensis (African oil palm). RNAcentral describes it as "long non-coding RNA (EGUI_LNC042138)". The record is from RNAcentral. Lineage: Eukaryota; Viridiplantae; Streptophyta; Magnoliopsida; Arecales; Arecaceae.